This 253-nucleotide ribosomal RNA is filed under the name uncultured bacterium. RNAcentral describes it as "partial 16S ribosomal RNA". It matches the Rfam family "Bacterial small subunit ribosomal RNA", at positions 524 to 776 of the family's 1533-position model. The record is from RNAcentral.
UACGUAGGGUGCAAGCGUUGUCCGGAAUUAUUGGGCGUAAAGAGCUCGUAGGCGGUCUGUUGCGUCCGCUGUGAAAACUCGGGGCUUAACCCCGAGCCUGCAGUGGAUACGGGCAGACUAGAGGUAGGUAGGGGAGAAUGGAAUUCCCGGUGUAGCGGUGAAAUGCGCAGAUAUCGGGAGGAACACCGGUGGCGAAGGCGGUUCUCUGGGCCUUACCUGACGCUGAGGAACGAAAGCGUGGGGAGCGAACAGG